UACGUAGGGGGCAAGCGUUGUCCGGAUUUAUUGGGCGUAAAGAGCGUGUAGGCGGCUAUACAGGUCCGUUGUGAAAACUCGAGGCUCAACCUCGAGACGCCGAUGGAAACCGUAUGGCUAGAGUCCGGAAGAGGAGAGCGGAAUUCCUGGUGUAGCGGUGAAAUGCGCAGAUAUCAGGAGGAACACCAGCGGCGAAGGCGGCGCUCUGGGCCGGUACUGACACUGAGGAGCGAAAGCGUGGGGAUCAAACAGG
This 253-nucleotide ribosomal RNA is filed under the name uncultured bacterium. Its description in RNAcentral is "partial 16S ribosomal RNA". It matches the Rfam family "Bacterial small subunit ribosomal RNA", at positions 524 to 776 of the family's 1533-position model. The record is from RNAcentral.